Molecule: ribosomal RNA, 339 nt
Filed under: uncultured bacterium
Lineage: Bacteria
Description: bacterial SSU rRNA
Rfam family: Bacterial small subunit ribosomal RNA
Source: RNAcentral
CUACUAUGUUCUAGAGUUUGAUCCUGGCUCAGGACGAACGCUGGCGGCGUGCCUAACACAUGCAAGUCAACGGGGUAAGUUACUUCGGUGAUUACUUAGUGGCGAACGGGUGAGUAACGCGUGAGAAACCUGCCUUUCAGUGGGGGACAACAGUUGGAAACGACUGCUAAUACCGCAUAAUGUUAUUUGGGGGCAUCCCUGAAUAACCAAAAGCUUUAUGCGCUGAAAGAUGGUCUCGCGUCUGAUUAGCUAGAUGGCGGGGUAACGGCCCACCAUGGCGACGAUCAGUAGCCGGUCUGAGAGGAUGAACGGCCACAUUGGGACUGAGAUACGGCCCAG